This is a long non-coding RNA of Galeopterus variegatus (Sunda flying lemur), 364 nucleotides long. RefSeq lists it as uncharacterized. Lineage: Eukaryota; Metazoa; Chordata; Mammalia; Dermoptera; Cynocephalidae. The transcript has 3 exons. The record is from RefSeq and is a predicted model, not a curated record.
CUGCUCUUUGGAAAGCAACCUAGAAGGCUUGGCGGGUGUUUUAGAAGCCGAUCUUCCUAACUACAAGAGCAAGAUCUUAAGGCUUCUUUGUACAGUUGCACGUCUGUUACCUGAGAAGCUGACAAUUUAUACAACAUUAGUUGGACUGCUGAAUGCCAGGAAUUACAACUUUGGUGGAGAAUUUGUAGAAGCCAUGAUUCGUCAACUUAAAGAAUCACUGAAAGCGAACAAUUAUAAUGAAGCUGUAUAUUUGGUUCGGUUUUUAUCUGAUCUUGUGAAUUGUCACGUGAUUGCUGCCCCAUCGAUGGUUGCUAUGUUUGAAAAUUUUGUGAGUGUAACUCAGGAGGAAGAUGUGCCUCAGGUA